GCGAUGGAAAACACGGAGCGCGAAGGUAGCGAUGAGGGUGAUUUGGUGAAUCGCUCAACAAAGAAAGUAUGAAUUCAAGGAACAGAGAAAGAUCGAGACGUUGUAAUGGAUGCAGCGCCAGUCACUGAAAAUGUCCUUUCAUGGAAAGACCGUCUGGUAGGUACGUGACUUCGAGCUGAUGAAAGAACAACAACAUUGGAUGAGUUGGAUAGAGAAGAAGAUUUUGAACUAUUGAAAGAGGAUGUUGAGCGCUCGCCGGUCAACGGUAUUCCUUCGAUUAAUUUUUCUAAACUCGUAAACCAAAUCAUUAUCAAACAUAUGGAGCAUACAGUAGUAAUCAAACUCUUGGGAAGAAGUAUAGGGUACUCUACACUUCAGAACAAUGUUUUUUCACUCGGGAAACUAUCUCAACCGUUUCAUUUAAUGGAUGUGGAGAAAGGUUAUUUUUUAGCUAAAUUUAAGAACUCGGAGGUUUAUGAAAAGGUUUUGUGUCAUGGUCACUGGGUUGUGUUUAGGCAGUACUUAAAAGUACAGCCGUGGACCAUGGAUUUUAAUCCAAUUCAGUCGUAUCCAAGCUCUAUUAUGGCAUAGAUCCGACUUCCCGGGCUACUUGGACAUAUGUAUAAGCGAAAAAUCUUACGAGAAAUAAGGGGGAUAAUCAGGAAAGUUGCAAAACUGGAUUUCAAUAUGGAUAACGGCGUUAGGGGGAGGUUUGCAAGAAUGAUAGUGUUCGUAAAUUUAGAUAGGGCUUUGAUCUCUCAGGUUUUGGUAAACGAGUUAUCCAGUGAAACGACUAUGAAUACUUACCAAUCGUUUGUUUCUUGUGCGGCCACUAUGGGCACAUAAAGGAGAUUUGCCCUAGAAGAGUGAUGGGACCAGACGAGUCUGAUGAAGGUAUUUCAGAGAACAUGAGUGAACAUAGGCAAAAUAUGAUGUUGAAUAUAGAAGAGGCACCGCCAAAUCUAGGCACCUAUGGCCCUUAGAUGCUAGUCGAGAAGACGGGUAGACGCACGGUGAAAACAGGAAUGAUGGACAACGGUGAAACUCAGGCAGGAACGGCGAAUAAUUUUAGGUUCUAGGUUUUGAAAAACCUAAUUAGGGAACGAAGUUUUCAGGAUCCAGCGGUUAGG
This 1130-nucleotide long non-coding RNA is filed under the name Gossypium barbadense (sea-island cotton). Its description in RNAcentral is "long non-coding RNA (GBAR_LNC022691)". The record is from RNAcentral. Lineage: Eukaryota; Viridiplantae; Streptophyta; Magnoliopsida; Malvales; Malvaceae.